UCCCUGUGCUCCAUUGCGCAGGCGUCGUCCGGGUGUCCGUCAAGGGCGAGGUUUGUUGCUCUCUGAUAAAAUUGUACUACUAGGAAAAUGUGAUAUCCUUGCACAUCGGUUUCAACUUUCAAGUUUAUUUGACAAUUCAAUGUACCACUGUACAAUUUGUCUGGUUAAGGGUGUGAUUAGUCGAUAGUCGGGCUUAAUUACUUGCAGUUUACUACUCCCUCCGUCCCGAAUUACUUCGUAUCUAGAAUACAUCCGUAUCAAAACAAAUCUAAGACAAGUAAUUCGGGACGGAGGUAAUACUAGUUUUGAAAGAAAAAGGAAAAUCCAAGUCGAAAGAAAAGUUCAUGUGCUGAACUUUUUAUUUGAUAUAGGUUGAACCACAGCUUACAUACACGACGAACAUAGAUUUACUUGUAAAAUGGAAGACGAUCCACGACAUAACACGAUUUCUAUCGAGAAAAGGUAAAGCAUUAAGUAAAGGAAACUAGUCUUAGGUCAUCCUGCAGCAGCAACAUCUGAGCAAUAUUAAAUGUUUGCAGUUUUUGCUCAACCCUGCAGUGCUGAAAAUGCAUCUUUGAUUGCGGUGACCUCAACGUAAACAUCCUGCAUUGAGGGACGAUAUUUGGGUGUCUCUGCAGCGCACAUGAGGCCAAUCUUAACGAGCUUGAUGAUGCAGCUCAUUCCAGCCAUUUGAUGAUGAUUUUCUUGAUCUACAGCCCUGCCUGCUUCUCCGUCUUGGUCCGCAUAAUAGGGAAUGAUUCUCGGAUCUAGAAUCUCGCCAAUCUUUUCAGGAAAUGAUUUUUCAACAAAAUUGUAAAGGCUCAGGCCAUCUUUAAACAUCUCAUCAGUUGGACGCUUCCCUGUGAGCAUUUCUAAGACGAUGACUCCAAAGCUGUAAAUAUCACCCUCGGUAGAGAUUUUGCUCCCAAAGCCAUAUUCUGCAAUAUGUAUAGUUAUUGAAACCGUUAAUUAACACAAUAAAAUUGGAGCACAAGAAUCAAAAUAUUUCUGGGGAAAAUAAAGUAAAAUGUCAUUGAGCCUAUAAGAUAUUUUCCAUAAAUAUAUUAUCCUACAUGAAGAAAUUCUUACCUGGUGCAAUGUAUCCAACUGAUCCUCUUGGUCCCACUAAGCUCGUAGAACCAUCAAUCCUAGAAGAAGUAUAACUGUGUACAAACUUAGUCAACCCGAAGUCACCAACACAUGCGCCCAUGACAUCAUCCAGAACACAGGCGGAGGACCCGGUAGGGCGAGGUUGGGCGCCCGCCCUACCUUGAUUUUGUACGAUGCAAUCUGUACAGGUAUACGCAUCGCUGGAUCGCUGGCUGGCUGGCUCCUGGUUGCCUCGCUAGGUAAAAAAAAAGGAGAAAAGGGAAUGGGCCUUCGAGCGAACGCAAGCCGCGUUAGGCCAGCAGCGCCCUGAUUGCUCCCCCAACAGCUAAGGAACUGCUACAUUCUUUUACCCUGAUUGCUCAAGUUCCUCAGCUGUCUAGACUAGCAGCAGUCCUCGACUGGUGCAUUCUUUUACCCUUUAAAAAGGUAGCAGUUUCCCGAUUCCCUCUCAUCCGCUGGCCUGAUUUCUCUUCACCGCCCCGGUUGGGAUUUCUACUGAUUAGCUAUUUUUUAUGUGUGUGUGAGAGAGGUGCUUAUUACUGUAAUUUGUGCGGCUACUGUAGGCGCUCUUUCAGUGAAUGGGAAACGUAGAAAUAUAGCAGAUGGGUAAGAAAAGAGAGGGUAGAACAAAGGUAAGAGUAAAGGUGCAAAUUUAUGGAAAAAAUAGAUUUCUAAAUUUGUGAUCUGUAUGGUAAAAUAGUUUGACAAUGUACAAUUCAGUGAUCUUAAUGAUAUUUUCAUAUUGUGAAUGGUAGCAUAUCAUAAUUUAAUUUACGCCUUAGUGUCCGCCCCACCUCAAAUUUUUGUCGUCCUCCGCCACUGAUCCAGAAGGACAUUGCUUGGCUUCAGAUCACAGUGUGUCAUAGGAGGCAUGCAAUGGUUAUGCAGGUAAUCCAAAGCAGCUGCUAUGUCUACUGCUAUUGCUAUUCUUGAACCCAAAGACAAGGGCCUUUUCAGAUGAUGCUCGUGGAGUGUUGGAUGGAGCCAACUUUCAAGGUUGCCGUUAACCAUAUAUUCAAGGAGAAGAGCUUUGAACUCAUUUCCUGUCAGGUCACUUGUCGAGCAUACUGUGAUCACCCUUACAAGAUUACGAUGACGAGUACUUCUGAGUGCCUGGCAUUCAGCAACGAAGCUUUUCGUUGCUCCAGGCUGAUCAAGUUUGAAAACUUUGAUCGCAACUGCAUGUUCUUCAGACUCAAUUCUACCUUUGUAUACGGACCCAUACUUUCCUGAACCAACCAAGUUGGCUAAAGAGAAACCAUUUGUUGCUUUCACUAAAUCAGCAUAUGUGAAUUUCUUUAACUCCUCGACGGAUGGAUGAUCUUCUUGCUUCGCUUUCUUUCCCUUCUUUAAAAAAAUGAGUCCAAUACAUGAUAACAUGACUAAGACAAGAGCAGAUAAUCCCAUUAUCUUCAGAAUGUGGAAUCUGUGCCUUUGUUGAGAUGCAGCUGUAUGGCAAAGUGGCAAUCUCAAUAGUGGGGAGACAGCACACAACUCUUUGUUCCCUUGGACAAACACCUUGCUUGCAUUUUGGAAGAUCCCACCAGUUGGCAUGGGUCCCUCCAGGUUGUUGAAUGACAAAUUGAGAAGUGACAGGGAGCUGAAAGCCUCAAAGAAGUCUGGAACUUGACCAGACAAGUUGUUUCGAGAAAGGUCCAUGUCACUGAUGCCUUUCAGUGCAGCGAAAGAUUGAGGGAUUCGCCCAUCAAGUAGAUUACCUUCCAGGUGGAGGGAUUCUAAAUGGAGGCAGUCGCCCAAAGUUGAGGGAAUUUCUCCAGUCAACAGGUUGUUGGAAAUAUCGAGGGGGGAAAGGUUGAUUAAUUUGCCAAUCUCCACUGGUAUAUGUCCAGAGAGUUUGUUGUGAGACAGAUCAAGACCUUCAGCAAGUGUGGAAAUAGUGAACAGUUCUUUUGGUAUUGUUCCAUCAAAUGAGUUGCAAGAGAGGUUUAGGGUGUGUAACUUAUUGCACUGUGCUAAAGCUACUGGGAUGGGCCCGCUCAAAUUAUUUUGCUGCAAAUAGAGCUCACUUAGUUGACCAAGUUUACGAAUUGAAAGUGGGAUUUGGCCAGAUAGCUUGUUUCCUGAUAAUCUUAGAACGAACAUGUUGGAAAGGUUUCCAAGUGAGUACGGAAGGGUUCCAGUAAGCAAAUUGUGCUCUAUGUAAAGAAGUUUGAGGCUACUAAGGUUCCCUAUCUCGUGUGGUAUGGUACCAGAUAUUUUAUUUGCUGUCAAGAUCAGAGAUUCUAAGCUUUUUGGAAGAUCGCCUAUGGACUUUGGCAGUUCACCUUGUAGGUUAUUUUCAUCUAAACGUAAACUUACUAGCUUUGUACAACUGGUGAGCGAGUGGAGGAAAGUCCAGUCGCCAGCUUCGAGUUGGUUCUUGCCUAGAUUUAGUUCGGUUAAGUUGGGCAAAGACCCAAAAUAAGGAACAAUACCAUGGAAUGCAUUGUCACAAAGAUUAAUGCUCUGAAGAUUUCUGGCCUUGGCCAUUGAAGUGGGAAUAAUACCUCCAAAUCUGUUUCCUUGAACAAUGAAUGUCUGGAUGCUUUGAAGGGUAUGGCCAAUAUUUUCUGGAAUUUCUCCUGUUAGGCUGUUAAUUCCCAUGCCAAGGUAUGUGAGUGUUGAUAUAUUGUAGAGAGAGCCUGGAACGGCUCCUAUCAAGUUGUUGUAAUUCAGAUCUAAUUUGUCCAAGUGGGGGACUUUACUCAAACUCCACGGAAUGCUGCCUUGCAAGUGAUUCCCUGCAAGCAAAAGCUCAACAAGGGAAGAGGAGUUCCCUAUGGUGGAAGGUAUUUUUCCUGCGAGAUUGUUGAAUGAUAGGGACAGAGUUCGCAACGGCGAGAUGGGUGAGAAAGGUGGAAUAGACCCGGAGAAGUUAUUUCUUCCCAAAAGUAUGAUUUCAAGAGAUGGGCUGCUGAAGAGAGAGGGAGGUACGUCUCCAUCGAGGUCAUUGCUUCCCAAGUCCAGCCAUUCAAGUGCUGAACUAUUUGCUAAGAGAGGUGGAAAGCCUCCAGUUAGGCUGUUGUUUGCCAGGACGACAUAGUAGAGUGAUGAGCUGCUUCCAAGUGGGUAAGGAAUCUUGUCCGUUAAUUUGUUGUUAGAACAUACAGAACUGAAAGCUUAGGAAGCAUGCCGAACCCAUCCGGAAUGCUUCCGUGGAGCGUGUUGCUAUCAAGAUAAAUCUCUGUGAGAUUUAGACAGUUGGCCAAACCUGUGGGGAUCUUCCCCUGGAGGUAGUUAUUCCCAAGAUCGAUUAUCUGAAGGCUAGAACAGGUAGACAAAGAGUUCGGUAUUACGCCAGUAAGAAUGUUAUCUGAAAGGGAGAGCUCGACAAGGUGACGCAGAAAACCUACCUCAGGCGGGAUCCCGCCAUUCAGCAGGUUAUCCUGGAGUUUGAUUCUUGCAAGGAAAGUGAGAUUACCGAUGCAGGGUGGUAUUUGGCCGUUCAGAUCAAGAGAUUCAAGAUGAAGUGUUGUGACGCGAGAUGCGUGCUUCUUGCCACAGGUGACACCGGGCCAACUGCAAUACUGAAGGGUAUUGUUCCACGAGGCGAGGGCUUCGGUGUUGUUAGAGAGAUGGUUCUUGAGACAGAGGAGUGCUUGGAAGUCCUUACCAGAUUCAUCACCAAGCGUGGUGCCAUCGAGUGAAGAAGCAGGGGCAAAAGAGGUCAAGAAAGUGAGGAGGACGGUGGCUGUGAAGAGUGAUGAACUGAUAGUCCCUAAAGAUACAUGGGCCAUUUGUGUGCUACCCACGGUUGUGUAUGUUUCUACUGAGUUGUGCCCUCCUACAGAUUUCAGCGGUAGCAGUGAGCACACAUAUUUAUAGCGGGGCUAGCUUGGAAGCCUGCCUUCUCUGCACCCCCCAUUUGUGUGUAACCGAAACAAGACAUUCUAGUUCCCAUCAUGGGCCUGCCUUCUCUGCACCCCCCAUUUGUGUGUAACCGAAACAAGACAUUCUAGGUUCCCAUCAUGGGCAGUAGUGGAAACCAAAGAGCGUUCCCUCGAAAAUUCACUCUCAAGGAACGUCUGCUCUAUCUCGCAAAAAAAAGGAACGUUAGCUCUAUAAUUUAUCAUUGUUUUUUUAAAUAAGGCGCUUGCAAUUUCCACUAUUUUUUUGCGAGAAAACUUCUAAUCUAUUCUUUUUCAACCAUGGUAGUACAUCGAACACUAGAAAUAAUAAAAAUUACAUUCAGGUCCGUAGACCAUCUAGCGACGAUUACAAGCACUGAAGCAAGCUGAAGGCGUGCCGCUGUCAUCGCCCCUCCCUUGCCAGAGCCCUCCCACCGGCAAGGGCCGGGAUCCACUCCGCUCCCAUGGCCCUAAGGCCACCAGAGGCGAGGUGGAUCGGCAGCGAUGCCGGUGGGAGGCAGAGAAACCCUAGCUUUGGGGAGGCGGCAAUUUUCACUAUAUUCUUGUGUUUUUUCUGUGGCGCAUCAAACAAAAUCUAUCACACAUUCUCUUGUUUUGAAUUUCUAUAGGAUUUUCCAACAUGUUAUUAUAUAUAAUUUCUAUGUCAUUCAAUUCCUGCGAUGGACGCUACUUUUAUUUGUAUUUAUAGGUAGAAGUUUGUUUCUUGGUUUUUCAGUUUUCUGCGACUGGCCUAUGGGGACAUAAAGUAGUACUGGAGAUUUGGUGGUUCUUUUUUCGGAUUUUCACCUGCACCAGCAAUGUAGCGGAGAGACUCAGAAUCUUGGAGGCAGUCCCGGUCUCUGACUGGAGGUUUGGCAGCAAGCCACCAUAUCUCCAGUACUACUUUAUGUCACCAUGGACUCGAGUAUCGGUGAGUGCAGCACGGGUCUCCCACCGCUACAACUUUAGCUUCUCCUAAUUCUUAACGCACGAAGCGUGCAAGAGCUCUGGAAAGACCAUGUCCCCGAGACUGAGCACUUGCCGUGUACCAACCCAGCUGCUCGGGAUCCAACUCAUUCUGCUGGUUUUCUUCAUCAACGGCAGCCUCCUCGUCCUCCCCGCCGCGUCAGCCUACUACAAUGCAUCUGCGCCUGCGGCUGCGAGAGUAUACCUCCCCUUUGGUAAAUCGGGAAUAUACCUCCCCCCUGGUAAAUCGGGAAACUGUGAGUAUCGUAAUUGAAACCAUUACUAAUUGCUAGUACUAAAUUGUGAGUACGAACAUGCGAAUGGUAGUGCUAUGAUAGAGGAAACAUACCGGAAUCCCUCUCUUGAGCAAUUGCCGUUCCGCCCUCUUGUUAAAUGCUUAUCAACUAAUACUUGGUGUUCUUUUUACCAUUUCUUGCAGUAAACGUGUUCGGUGGACCACGAACCGCUACUCCACAUCCUCACGCUAACCAACCGGAGGGGAUUCCUCGGCGCAGAGAGCGCAAACACUAGGCGCCUGAGAGGUGCACGUGCAGCGAGACAACGGGGGAUGAACACAUGUAGUAGCUUUGAUAGGGAAUCAAAUAACCUUGCGUGGUUGGGCCAAUGGGCGCGUUACUUGUAUUUGUGAUGCAUAUGCAGCUUGUUAAACAAGUUUGUGUGCAACUUGCAAUUUCUGUUUCCUUGUCCUUCGAGGGACUCGCUAAUGUUAUACGUACUCGAUCGACAAUUGGUAUCUCCUUUGUACUCCAUUAUUGAAACCGCUCGUAUGUGGAAAGGUUAUUGAAACAAUUUGAUCGAUUGGGCCAACAAAGGUGGUUAGUUGCUUCUUAUUGCUUGUCACUCACUGUAAUCUACUCCCUCCGUCCACAAAUAUACAACGUUUUGGAUAUAUCAAUACGUGCUAAUAUUUAUGAACGGAUGAAGUAUCUAUCAAGAUAUUGAGUUCUGCUAAGGUAAUGCUCCAUUGCCCCUUUGCAGGCGAGGUUCGGCCUCAGUUCAUGGCCAAUCAUCAAAGGGUUGCCGAGGUGGCCCAGUAUGCACCCUUGACUAGAAAUGGUGGUACAAUGUAAAAGAAAAACUAGAAAAUGGUGGUACAAAAUAACCAGUAAACCGUCUAGCCUGGAGAACAAAAUGGAAAUUUCUGUUGCUGCAUAUGUUGAUGCCUGGCAUACAUAUCUGAGUAAAGAGAAACAAAAGAAUUUCUAAAGGGACGCCUUAGAGGAUGUUGAUCUGAAGAUGUUACCUCUUGAAACAUGCUUUCGCCUAGUUUUUCUUGAAAUGAUAAGAUAUAUAUAUAUAUAUAUAUAUAUAUACCUAUAUAUAUAUAUAUAUAUACCUAUAUAUAUAUAUAUAUAUAUAUAUAUAUAUAUAUAUUGUUACUAUUCAUCACCUAGGGUGCAGAAUAAGUUAUUCUUCAUCCGAGGUAAUCUUACGAUAAUUUCAUAAUUAAAUUACGUUUGAAAUUCAAAUAGUUACAUUUCUGUUGAUUCACUACGUAAAAUUUGACAUAAGAAAAUAAAAAUAUAGAUCAUAAGACAAGAAAAUUUGCAGUUUAUGUGUAUUUUACACUAUGUUUUUACGUUUGUAAUUUUACAUAACAGAAAAUAUUUUUUACAACGAUUAUAAAUUUUCUUACAGUCUCUUUUUACGUCGGAAAUAAGACAAAACUUACGGAACGUAAAAUUACGAUGCAUUGAUGGUAAAAUAGACAGGGGUGAAGAAUAACUAUUCCUUAUCUAGGGUAACGAAUAGUCAAUGCCUAUAUAUAUAACAACAAACCAAAGUACAGGACCAGAUGAUACAAUGUGGUGUGGAGGUCUUCUACAAAGCAGAUUAAAGGACAUACAAUAAGCCUAGAACUAUCCUAACACCACUAAGACCCAACUGGGAAUGUCUGGCCUCCACGACAGCUCCUCGGGAAGGUGAUUACCGAAAAAGGCUUUCGCCCCGUUUUAUAUAUAAAGCAAUGACCGACCAUAGCUCAGAUACAAACGCACGCCACCCCAACAUACACACACACCCAAGGCUAGAUACAUAGGCACUAAGCGCAGCAACACUACCCCUAGUACUACACGAGCAACCGGAGUCCUCAACCGUGGACACGCCAACGCGAAGCGAAGAAGCCACAUAUGACGAACCGUGUGCUCCAAGGCGGCGCCUUCAAGAAGGUUACGACACCAGAGCGCCGUCACCGCCCGACCCGAGGAUCAGAGUUUCCCCUGGAGCAACAUGACGGGCAAUGAGAGUCGUGGCGACGCCUUCAAGAAGGGAGCGAGCUUCGCCGCCGCCAGUCCAUUCGAAGAUAGAUUAGGUUUUCACCCUAGCCAACACUCACCACCACCGGACGCCACAUCCCAUUGACCACGCCGCCCACACGACCAUGAUCACCGGCAGCACCUAACCACGGGCUCUGCCCAAGAGCACCACGGAGCCACCACCAAGGGCGCCGCCCUGGCAUCCAAGACCUGGACACCACCUCACUCGAGACCCACCGCUACCCCAACCAAAGGUACGGGCGGAAAGGAACGCCUAUCGCACCCCUGGGCUGCCCCCAACGCCGAAACCCAAAGGCUGGCCAAAAUUGGCCUCCAUCGAUCUGUCUUACUACCGGACGCGAGACGAGUACGGUCCUGCUGCCGGGCGCGAGACAGGCAUGAUCCUGUUGCCAGGCGUGAGACGAGGUCAGUCCUGCUGCCAGGCGCGAGAUGAGGUCGGUCCUACUGCCGGGCGCAAGACGAGCUCGGUCCUGCUGCCGAGCUCGAGACGAGCGAUAGACCGUAGUCGGAGGAGGGCCGAACCUUCGGCGAUGGUAGCAACUAGACGACGAGGAGAGGGCCGAAGGUCGAAACGGGCCGCCUACAGAUAAGCCGACGCCGGAAAACCAGCUGCCGCCCAGUCGACCCGCCGAGCUGCUAUGGAGCCAGCACGACGAAGCCACCUCGCCGUCGCCGCCCACAGCCGGGACCGCAGCCACGCCGGGCCGACGCCCCAAACCCGUGCCGCCGACCGGAAAAAGGCGAAAUCCGGCCGGCACGCAACACCACCACCGCCACCAUGCCGCCGCCGACGAGCGCAAUAGCCCUCGCGCGUCGCCGGCAGGCCCUUGCCGCCUCAGCCCGCGCCGCCCGCGGGAAGGAAGCACAACAACACCUUAGGCCGCCGGACGCCGGAUCCCGUGCCAGCCACCGGACCCGGCCCGCGCUCGCCACCCAAGGGUGCCCGAAGGAACAACCACACCCCCCGGGCAGCCGCUGAGCACACCAGCACCAGCCCCUACAAGGACCAGCGCCCGCGGAGCACGCCACCGCCGUCAACCUCCGCCGGCGCCGCCGACUGCAAGCCCCUGCACCAGAUCGAACGGAUCUGGGCAGAGCCUCGCUCGCGCGCCACCUCCCGAUCCGGAGCACCGUAGCCGCUGUGCAUCACCAAGCGCCCGACGCCACCGCACCGCCUCCGGCCGCCGCACCACGCGCCCGCCGCCGCGCCACAGGGNNNNNNNNNNNNNNNNNNNNNNNNNNNNNNNNNNNNNNNNNNNNNNNNNNNNNNNNNNNNNNNNNNNNNNNNNNNNNNNNNNNNNNNNNNNNNNNNNNNNNNNNNNNNNNNNNNNNNNNNNNNNNNNNNNNNNNNNNNNNNNNNNNNNNNNNNNNNNNNNNNNNNNNNNNNNNNNNNNNNNNNNNNNNNNNNNNNNNNNNNNNNNNNNNNNNNNNNNNNNNNNNNNNNNNNNNNNNNNNNNNNNNNNNNNNNNNNNNNNNNNNNNNNNNNNNNNNNNNNNNNNNNNNNNNNNNNNNNNNNNNNNNNCCGGCCACUCCGAGCAGCGGAGAAGAAGGGGCCCGCCGCCGCCGCGCCAACCGGGCUUUGUCCGUCAGCGCUAGCCGGCGGCGGCGGGGGAGGAUGGGAGAGGUGGGGGCGAGGGGUCCUGUGGCUAGGGUUUCCCCCUGUGACGCCCCAAUACCGGAGCUUCAGUUGCCUUCCAGGGUUUCCGGGUUUCUUCGUGUGACUUGUUUGGUUCAUUGCAUUCAUCAUUGCAUCAUUUUGCAUUGCAUCAUGUCAUCAUGCCAUCAUGUCUUUUUUUAACUCAACUAAAUAAAUGGCAUGGAUCUUUGAUCCAUUUAAAUCGAGGGAAGGGUGACUUCUCUUUAUAACAUAUCCUCUUGAUAUUAGGGAGCUAUUAUAAAUAUUUCCAUUCUUGUGGAAUUACCGUGACACACUUGCAAUUUAAACUCUCAAGUCUUUUCUGCUUCGAGUUGCUCCUCAAACCUUGCAAUAUAUUCUUUCAUCAUUUUCCGGAGCUCCACCAAAAAAUCCGAACAUUUAUGGACCUUCUUUUUACUGAAUCUUAGUUCAAACCCAUUUGAAUUAAAUUCAAAUGAGUUUGAAUUUAUAUCUUUUAAUCUUGGCCAUUUCUAUUUUCUUUGAACGAGCAUAUUUUUGUGAGUCCGGGAAAUUUAUCCGCGAGUCCAACUUCGUUCUCUAACCCCCCCACUUUCUUUCUUAUUCUUCUCUUGUUUUCUGAUAAAGAAAAUAUUAAGAGAAAGAAGGGAGAGAGAGAGAGAGCCCACACCCACAGGCCUUCUUGGGCCUAGGCCUGCCAGACCGGCCCAACCUCCCUGAGGCCUCAUAGCCUGCAUCUAAACCUAAUCCUCUCCCCUGUUCGAUUCCAGCGUCGUCACCACGAUCCCCAUCUCCCUCGCGCUGCACUCUUCUCCCCGAUUCCCUCGAUCCCAUCUCUCCCGUAUGCCGCGCCACCUCUCUUCUCGAUCUCUUCCUCGCUGCCAGCCCGCGACCUCUGCUGCCCCGCAAGCACCACCAACCUCCGCCGCCGCUCAAGUCCGAGAGCCCCGCACACCCUGCCUCAGCGCCGCCCUUCUCCAUGGCCACUGCCGGCCGAGCUCAAAGCUCCGCCCCGGAGCUGCUUCGCCCCGAGGCCCUGGCCUCGACCUCUUGGGCCUCUUCCUCGCCCUGCCGCCGUCGGAGCCAUGUGCCUCCCUAAGCUACGCACGUCGCUCGGCUUGGCCUAUGAGGCCAUCAGCAUCGCAGCGCCCCUGCUGCCUCCCUUUUCUUGCCGGCCUCGACCUCCUCUGCAAGGUGAAGCCACGCCCGCGCCAAGUUACCUACUCCUUCUCCACGCACGCGCCAGCGACCUCCUCAUCAUCUUCAACAGGAAGACGCCGCCAAGCUUUGCCCCUGGCCCUGCUUCUCCUCACUGAGGCCAUGGAUGCCUCCGACCUCGCCGCCAGCCGCUGUCGACCUCGCCGCCUUCCUGCAUGUGCGUGCCUCGCUGCUGGUCUCGUGCCAGAGGUCCCGCUCCUCACGGCCAUGGUGUCCGUCGUGACUGUACGCACCUUGCUGCUGCUUCAUCGGCCACCUCCCUUCGUUGACCACCAAGAACCGAGGCCUAUUGUGUUGCUUCAUUUGGGAUGCGUCAAGUUCCUCUACUAGCUGUGUCAAGUUCCUCUACCAUUCGUGCACGCCUCUAGAUUCAUCCAAGUUCCGACGAUGCUUUUGUACAACUAUGCCGCGGAGACCAAGACCGGCAAGUCCACACGGGAGCCCGAACGACUACUUCCACGACGAUACGAGAACAACUACCGUCGACGUGCAUUUUGCCAAGUACCACUACCGUCGACCCUCGAAGACUCCAUGGACGUCAAGUUUCUUGCCGUGCCCCUGAACAUCUACGGAAACUUGUGAGACUAAGAACGUGAACGACUACCGUCGCCACGAGAACGACUACUUCCUCUACCAUCGCCGAGUUCCACUACUUCCCACGACGAUCGUGAACGACUACACCGCUUGACAAGAACCGUCCCGUUUGCACACUUCGAAGGUAUAACCCUACACCGCUUGACAAGAACCGUCCCGUUUGCACACUUCGAAGGUAUAACCCCGAGACGACGUCCGUGAACGAAUGCUUGCGAUGUUUGAGAUGCUCGUGUUUGCACUGUGUCCAAAUUGUCACUUGUUCCCUUGUCGCCAACUCAUGGGACACCCGGAAUCCGGGAUCACUCCCCAUCACUCUUGCAUAUUCCGCACUCUUAUUCUUUUGCACCGGCCUUUCCACGAAUUUCCGGAUCAUCUGAAUGUGCCGUGGCACCAUUCCCGUUGUCGUUGUCAUGGCACCCCUUUUCGUUUCCGCCACGAUGACAAAAUGCUUCUUAAUAUGCUCUUAUCAAGAUUCUCAUAAAUAUUGCAUAAAACGUGCAUGUCAUCCGCAUCAUGAUAACAACAUCAAGUCUGUUUAAAAUUGUUGUUUGCUUUAAAAUUGCUAAAUGCAUAUGGGGAUUUACCGGAUUCGUUAUUUGUUAUAUCCGGCCCCAUUUAAAUUGUUUAGAUGGUGUAGUUUUGUUAUACCUCACCUCUUGCCAUGUUUAACAACAUUUAAUAUUGGUGAGUACAUAAACGAGAGAGAACUAAAUAAGUCAUGUGGUGUUUUCUUCAAUAUGCAACUCCGUUGCAUAUUGAGCUCCACUUAAUUUGUAGUGUUGUUUGUUGCACUUUGCCAUGUCAUGCUUCAUUAAACCGGACAUGCAUCAUACUUGAUUGUGCAUCAUGCCAUGAUUUUGUGGUGGUUGUUUACUAUGUUGUUUGCUCCUUUCCGGUAUUGCUUCUUCGGGUUGGUUCCGAUAACGUCGUGUUGUGAGGAUUCGUUCGACUACGUCCGUUUAUCUUCUUCAUGGACUCGUUCUUCUUCCUUGCGGGAUCUCAGGCAAGAUAACCAUACCCUCGAAAUCACUUCUAUCUUUGCUUGCUAGUUGCUCGCUCUUUUGCUAUGCCUAUGCUGCGAUACCUACCACUUGCUUAUCAUGCCUCCCAUAUUGUUGAACCAAGCCUCUAACCCACCUUGUCCUAGCAAACCGUUGUUUGGCUAUGUUACCGCUUUGCUCAGCCUCUCUUAUAGCGUUGUUAGCUGCAGGUGAAGAUUGAAGUUUGUACCUUGUUGGUGCAUGGAGAUGUUGUUCCUUGUUGGAACAUGUUUACUUGUUGGGAUAUCACAAUAUAUCUUAUUUAAUUAAUGCAUCUAUAUACUUGGUAAAGGGUGGAAGGCUCGGCCUUAUGCCUGGUGUUUUGUUCCACUCUUGCCGCCCUAGUUUCCGUCAUAUCGGUGUUAUGUUCCCGGAUUCUGCGUUCCUUACGCGGUUGGGCUAUUAUGGGAACCCCUUGACAGUUCGCCUUGAAUAAAACUCCUCCAGCAAUGCCCAACAUUGGUUUUACCAUUUGCCACCUAGCCUUUUCUUUCCCUUGGGAGUCGCGCUCCUGAGGGUCAUCGUUAUUUUACCCCCCUGGCCAGUGCUCCUUUGAGUGUUGGUCCAAACUAGAGUCCUGUGCAGCGCCCCCUCGGGGAAACUCGAGGUUUGGUUUUAGUUGUAUGGAGCGCUCAUCUGAGUGUGCCCUGAGAAUGAGAUAUGUGCAGCUCCUAUCGGGAUUUGUCGGCACAUUCGGGCGGUGUUGCUGGUUUAGUUUUACCAUUGUCGAAAUGUCUUGUAACCGGGAUUCCGAGUCUGAUCGGGUCUUCCCGCUAGAAGGAAUAUCCUUCGUUGACCGUGAGAGCUUGUGAUGGGCUAAGUUGGGACACCCCUGCAGGGAUUUGAACUUUCGAAAGCCGUGCCCGUGGUUAUGGGCAGAUGGGAAUUUGUUAACGUCCGGUUGUAGAAAACCUAAAGUUGACCUUAACUAAAAUGCAUCAACCGCGUGUGUAACCGUGAUGGUCUCUUUCCGGCGGAGUCCGGGAAGUGAACACGGUGUUGGAGUUAUGUUUGACGUAGGUUGUUCUAGGAUCACUUCUUGAUCAUAUAUUCUCGACCGUGCUUUGCCUUCUCUUCUCGCUCUCAUUUGCGUUGUUAGCCACCAAAUAUGCUAGUCGCUUGCUGCAGCUCGACCUCAUACAUUUUACCCUUCCUAUAAGCUUAAAUAGUCUUGAUCGUGAGGGUGCGAGAUUGUUGAGUCCCCGUGGCUCACAGAUACUUCCAAAACCAGUUUGCAGGUGUCGAUGUUACCGAGCAGAUGACGCAACCAAGCUCAAGGAGGAGCUCGAUGAAGAUCUUGUCCUUCGUGUUGUUUCGUUCUAGUUGAUCAGUAGUGGAGCCCAGUUGGGGUCGAUCGGGGAUCUGUGUAGCAUUUGGGGUAGUCUUCUUUUAUUUUGGUACCGUAGUCGGACCUUGAUUGUAUUUGGAUGUUGUAAUGUUUUAUUCAUGUAAUUGUGUGAAGUGGCGAUUGUAAGCCAACUAUGUAUAUCUUUCCCUUAUGUAUUACAUGGGUUGUGUGAAGAUUACCUCACUUGCGACAUUGCUUUCAAUGCGGUUAUGCCUCUAAGUCGUGCUUCGACACGUAGGAGAUAUAGCCGCAUCGAGGGCGUUACACCCCCCCCCCCCGGCGCUCGCAGGAGCAUCACGGGAGGGGAGGGCGCAAUUUCUGCACUCUGGGAACUCGGAUACAACAUGAGAGUAACAUUAAAGGAGGACAAAGUCUGGCCGCUCCCGCGACGCGCCCCGCGUGCGCGUCACGGGGGCCCUCGAUCUGCCGCCGGCGAACUCCUCCCCUCCAGCCUCUCCUCCCCCUCGCCGCCGUCGGAGGGCGUCCGCCGGGUGAAGCCCGUGCGACGCGGGCGGCGGCGGGGCCAUUUCGUCCCUCCCCUAUUCGAGGAUGCGGCGGCGCGGGUCAGCCGCUCGUGGGGGCGCGGAGCUCGGCGGGGCUCUCGGCGACGGGGACGUCGGGCUUCGACGGCCGUUAGGCUGGGAGUGAGGGCGCGCCGCUGCGUUGUUAGUGGCGGGGUGUUGGUCGGGCUCCCCCCGAUCUAGAUCCCGAUCUGCUGCAGGCGGCACGGCUGGUGUUGGCGGUGGUGGUCCCGGCCGUCGGUGGGCGUGUCUUGUGGGGGCUGGUCGCAGCUGUGCGUCGGCGCCUUCCCUCCUUGACCUUGUGGCUUGCCGUGACGGACCCUGUUUGGCCCCUUCUGAGUCAAGUCGGGGGCUUUUGGCCGCAGGCUUGGUGGCGCGGCGACUAGUCUGAGCUCCGGCGGCGCGCUCGUGUGGUGGCGCGGCGGCGGGGUUGGCUAGUAGUGGUGCGGAGGCUGCGCGGGACUGUGCCGUGGCUUUGGUGCAGGCGGCAGCCAUGGUGGCUGGUGGCGCGGGUGCGUGCCCGGCGGCUCCGCUGCUUGGAGCUCGCCGGUCGGCGCGGGUUGGGCAGUGGCCCGGGGUGGCUGCUGCUUCGGCCGUGGAUGGCUCCACGGCGGCUUGGCUAGUCGGCUACGGCGUCGGCUCGUCCGUUGGCCGCUUGUGUCAGCCCUUGAUCUGUCUCCUCGUCGUCCGGGUGCUAUCUCAGUUGAAGUGAUGGACCUCUCCCAACUAUGGCCCAUCAUUAGUCUCGCGCUAGGGCAGCAGGACCAAGCUCGUCUCGCACCCGGCAGCAGGACCGCGCCCGUCUCGCGCUCGGCAGCAGGACCAUGUUCUCUCGCGCCCGAUGCAGCAGUAUGAGUCGAUGGAUGCUAGUUUGCCAUGGGGUCCGCUUGUCUCUUCGGUUGGGGUAGUGGCGGGUAUCGAGUGAGGUGGUGUCGAGGUCUUGGAUGCCGGGACGGCGGCCCUGAUGGUGGUAGCAUGGUGCUCAUGGGCAGAGCCCAUUGCUCCGUGCUGCCUGGCAGCCAUGGCCGUGUGGACGGCGUGGUAGCCGGGGUGUGGCAUUCGGUGGCGGUGAGUGUUAGCCGGGGCGAAAACCUGCUCUAUCUUCGGACGGACCGGGGGCGCAAUUUCUGCACUCUGGGAACCCGGGAAGGUGAUUAUGCGAAGCGAGCGUGAAGCUCUCGCCCAGAGACUAGCAUGUACCACCAGGGGCGUCCCGGUCACCACUUCAACAAGGGUCAGUGCCGCCACAUCAGAUCUAGGCCUUGCCGGCCACAACCUCCCGUCACUACACGGUUAAAGCAUCUCCGCCGUUGCCCUCCUCCAGAACAUAUAAAAAUCACUCCCUGGGGACGAGCAGGCGAUACAAUCGACGCCGGGGCGGUUGGGCGUCCAGCCGUCGGCCCUAGGCGUCGAUAUUAGCCCACUUUUUGGCUCACUUUCGACAAAUAAAGGGCCCAUAUGGGCGAGAAUAGGCCCAUAUUCGGCGUGGUUCGUCGUGGCUCGGCGUUCAAUUGUCAACAUAAAUAUUUUUUUAUCACAUAGUUCAUCACAAAAAAUCAAAUACUUCAACAAAAUAGUGCAACAACAAAUCGUUCAAUACAAAUUAUAUAGUUCAACAAAUAAAAACUCAUCACACGUCGCGUCCGGCUUCGCCCUUGAGCCUCCAUAGGUGAUUCACCAGAUCCUGCUGCAGUUGUUGAUGCACCUGUGGGUCUCGGAUCUCCUGACGCAUACUAAGGUAGGCAGUCCAGGUUGCCGGUAGCUGGUGAUCAACUUCGGCUAGAGGACCCUUCCUGUAGUAUGGUUCUGUAUCAAACACUGGCUCUUCUUGCUCGUUCUCGAUGAUCAUGUUGUGCAAGAUGACACAACAAGUCAUGAUCUCCCACCACUACUAGAGAAAAGCUUACUAGUGGCGCUGGUUUUUUACAUACCAGUAGCGCGGGCACCCGCGCUACUGCUAGGGCGCUACAACUAUUAUUUAACAGUAGCGCGUUUCUAAACAAGCGUUGCAGCUAAAAUACUCAUUAGCAGCGCCGAUUUCUCCACCAAUGCUACUACUAUCAUCACGUAGUAGUAGCGCCUUAUUUUCUCCCCACGCUACAACUAGGCAAAUAGAAAUAAAAAAUAAAAAAGCAGUCAGGUGCAAUAUUCAUGGAAAUCAAGACAAGUCCAGUGCAAAUAAACUAAGUUCACAGAACCAUCUCACAAACAUUAACGACAGUACCACAUUUAAUAUAAUCACACAAUCUCACAAACUCAUAUAGUAGUCAACAAUGCAUGGAUAGAUCAUAUUUGAUAAGUCUACUAGGUAGUCAUACUAGCAUAUAUAUGGUUCAACAGCCACACGCAUGCAUAUGAAGUUCUAGAUGAUGUCGAUGACGACCAUCAUCCUCAAGCCUGGGCGAUCGGUGUUCCUGAUAGUAAUUAGGAUUGCCUGUCCAACAUGGAGAUUCUUGCCAACGAGGAAGCUCUUCCACCCAACUGAGUUGAAGUGUGUGUGACCGUCCGUGUCCACGCCGUACGCACAAGUGGUGACAGAGCCCCUUGCGGUUAGGCGUAUUCCAGCAGAGCCUUCUUCAUCAGGCUUGAUACCACAACUCUCAGAUAGGCUCUUUGGCAAUUUUUGAAUAAGAAAAAUAUAUCAAUUAAUAAGUAGCCUCACACAUUCUACACUAAGUAUAACAAUAAAGCAUAUAAUAUUCACUAAGCACAUAAGAUUCACUAAGCAUAUAUAUCAUCGGACUCUACACUAAGUAUAACAAUAAAGCAUAUAAGAUUCACUAAGCAUAUAAGAUUCACUAAGCAUAUAAGAUUGACUAAGCAUAUAUAUCAUCGGACUCUACACUAAGUAUAACAAUAAAGCAUAUAAGAUUCACUAAGCAUAUAUAUCAUCGGACUCUACACUAAGUAUAACAAUAAAGCAUAUAAGAUUCACUAAGCAUAUAAGAUUCACUAAGUAUAUAUAUCAUCAGACUCUACACUAAGUAUAACAAUAAAGCAUAUAAGAUUCACUAAGCAUAUAUAUCAUCGGACUCUAAACUAAGUAUAACAAUAAAGCAUAUCAUCAAAUUACUCUAAAAACUACAGUAAAUGCAACAUACCAUGAUAUGUCGAUUAACCAUGGUACUUGUCAGGCGGGUCACGAAUGGCACCCCGACAAAGUCAGCACGUGGCGGAAUGAUGUCCCAUAGGUUGCACACCUCCUCCUCGCUCAACUUCAUUCUUUGAGCUACGAUGGCAUCACCGAGUGGGUCGUCAUCAUCCUCAUCAUCCUCAUAAUCUUCUGCUUUGUUGACAUGAAUCACGGCCAGCUUGGGUCUUUCAGCUCUGAAGGAGAAGCUGAUCAACUCACCACCGGUGAUACGCAUGUGGUCGAUGAAAUGGACCCAUCCAUCUCCUCCCACGCGCGUCAUCUUUCGUCCUUUAUCGAUCUCCAUAGUGUAGGGGCCCCCAGGAGCCUCAAAGGUCACAGAGUCUCCAGUCAGAUUGUUGAAUUCUGACCUCACAUUGCAUGGGAUGAUCUGUGUACAAAAAGCAAAAUGAUAUAUACACGAUGCAUUAAUGCCAAUAACACUAACAACAAAAUAGUAGUUACUAGUUUCAUAUAAUUUAUUACCGCCGCAUGAAGAAAACUAGACUCGAAGUAGAUGCCAAACAGCGUGCCAGUUGCAAGGCUGCUGGUGCACCUUGACUUGCACCGUCGACAUGGUGGUGGUGGCGCCAUUUCCCUAAAGCAAUAUGAUUAAAGGAUUAAUGAUCCAAAAAGUAAACAUAAAGUUUUCAUAGCUAGAGUUCACAUGGCAAGCAAAAUAACAACUAAAAAGUAAACAUAAAGUUUAGUCCAGGGGAACACUUUAUCUAUUCCCACAUCCAAAAGUUGAACCAGCUUAGAAUCUUCCAGAACACAAUAAGUAAACAUCCAUUCCACCUUUGGCAUCAGAUGCACAAUAAUUAAAACUAUAAAAGGCAAACACCCCCCUUUUCGAUCAGAUACAACUCUUUGUCUAUCUGUGUUUUCUUUUUCUGAAAUUUACCAAAAACGGGCUCACUAACAACAUCAUAAGAACUUAGCAAUUUGAGCAUCACCACAUACAGAUACUCUCUCCAACCUGAAAGAGAGUAUCAAAUCAAGCAUUGAUUUUCCAUGAAACCACAUAACAGUGAGGGCUUCUUGGUCAUAUCUUUAUGUGCAUCAACAAAGAAGCUAGUGGCAGUAGCCAAGAAUUGAAACCCUCAACCGUUGCUGUCAUAUCAGAGCUAAAAAAAUGCUCACGAUUCUACGGUCGAGCACUAUGGUUGUUCUAGCAAAGGAAUGACAAGUAGUUACAAGUACUACAUCAAUGAUCCUAAAUGUCGAAAACAAUAGUCACGACAUGGACGCCCCCUCUCUAAACCCUAGAACACUAGGCACCGCCGCCGCCACCACUCCUCCAGGGGCAGCAGCCAAGAAUUGAAACCCAAGUUUCAAUUAUAUGUGCUAAAAGCCUCUACUUCUCUAGCUACUUCUCUCUACUCUCUCCUAAGUUUCGGUGAGAAAAGCCUUUACUUCUCUCACCUAACCCCUCUCUCUACUCUCUCCCCAAUCACGCGAGGAGCAUGUUGCAUUGAAGCGUGGAGCCACCAUGCAAUCCCUAAAUCCCAUCAUGCAAAUCGAUUGGAGCCUAGCUAGUGUUGCACGCGCAGGGAGGAGGAGAUCGAGGGGGACUUACGGGGCUGGAGCAUCGGAGUAGGCGAGAGGCGACUGCGUGUGGUGGCGGCGCACGACACCGUCGACGGGGGUGAGGCGGCCGGGGAUGAACCCUAACAGCGGGGGCAUCAUCGGGCGUAGGGGAUCGAUUGUGAGAGUGUGAGGGGGUGCGGGGGCACUCGGGCCAGUUUUCUUUUGCUCUAGCAGUAGCGCUGUUUAGAGGCCGGCGCUACUGCUAAGCCCACCAGCUGUAGCGCCCAUUCAAAACAAAUGCUACAGCUAAGUGGGCUACUGCUUUUUCCCUGCGACCCAUGUAACAGUAGCGUGGCCCAAGCAAACAAACGCUGCUGUUAUAUAUUAGUAGUAGAGUGUUUUCUGCCCAGCGCUACUGCUAAAUACUAGUAGCGUGGGGUCAUAAACAGGCGCUACUGGUAAACUUCUGUCUAUAAGAAUUUUCCUAGUAGUGCACAUUUGAUCUUUCAACCAGGUCUGAGCAGGGUACCGGACAACAGCAAAUCAAGAUUGGAGCACACCAAAUGUCCGCUCGACAUCCUUCCGGCAAGCCUCCUGCACCUUGGCAAAGUGGGACUUCUUGCCUCCUGGCACAGCGUUUGAGAUAGUCUUCAAAAAUGUAGACCAUCUCGGAUAGAUGCCAUCAGCUAGGUAGUACCCCUUGUUGUAGUGCCGCCCAUUGACCUCGAAGUUCACCGAAGGAGAAUGACCUUCAACAAGCUUGGCAAAGACAGGGGAGCACUGCAGCACAUUGAUGUCAUUGUGAGUUCCUGACAUACCAAAGGAGUGCCAAAUCCAGAGGUCAUGUGUGGCCACCGCCUCAAGUACCACACUGCAACCGUCUUUGCUGCCUUUGUACAUCCCCUGCCAAGCAAAUGGGCAGUUCUUCCAUUUCCAAUGCAUGCAAUCGAUGCUUCCAAGCAUCACAGGAAAUCCUCUCGCCGCAUUCUGUGCUAGGAUCCGAGCAGUGUCUUUCGCAUUGGGUGUUCUCAAGUAUUGUGGUCCAAACAGUGCCACCACUGCUCGAGAGAACUUUUAGAAACACUCAAUGCUGGUGGACUCGGCCAUGCGCCCAUAGUCGUCGAGUGAAUCAUCGGGAGCUCCGUAUGCAAGCAUCCUCAUCGUUGUCGUGCACUUCUGGAUCGAGGUGAAUCCAAGUUUGCCGGUGCAAUCCAUCUUGCACUUGAAGUAGCUGUCGAACUCCCUGAUGGAAUUCACAAUCCUGAGGAAGAGCUUUCGGAUCAUUCGAUAACGGCGCCAAAAUGUUUUGUCGCCGUGAAGUGGAGCAUCGGCGAAGUAGUAGGAGUAGAGCAUGCAGUAGCCUUCGAGACGAUGCCGGUUCUUUGCUUUCACCGGCCCCGACUGACGGUGUCCUGGACUAGGGGAUACUCACCACGUCGUCUCCCAGUCAGUUAGAUUGGGCCGAGGACCCCCAUGGCCGUAUACUCAUGGGCCAGUUCGGACAGCUGCCGCAUACAAGGAAGAUUCCACAAGACUUGGUGGUCAAGACAAGGACUCCUCCCCCACCGGCGUAUUUGGCUAGAACUCUUGUUAUCGUAGGCCACUGGUGCAUUAUAUAAACUAGGGCCAGGCUAGUCGAUAGAUAUACAAACAAUCAUAAUCAUAGGCUAGUUUCUAGGAUUUAGCCUCUACGAUCUUGUGGUAGAUCAACUCUUGUAAUAUUCAUAUCAUCAAGAUCAAUCAAGCAGGAAGUAGGGUAUUACCUCCAUCGCGAGGGCCUGAACCUGGGUAAACAUUGUGUCCCCCGCCUCCUGUUACCAUUCUCCUUAGACGCAUAGUUCGAGCCCCCUACCCAAGAUCCACCGGUUUUGACACCAACAUUGUUGCUUUCAUUGAGAGUUCCGCUGUGUGAUCGGCAAAAGGAUCGAUGGCUCGUCUGCAGAUUAACUGCGAUGUCGACAUCUUCAUCACCGGCUUGACUGGUCACCUUGGCUUGACCAAGGACUGUGCCCUGCCUCCGAUCAUCAUGUUCGGACGAGGGCCUUCAUCAACACCAACUCCGAUCUCUAUCAAGAUCAUGGAGGAAUCGUCCAUGGAGCUUGGGGGCUCAACGUCAACAUUGCCCUCGGGCGACCGUGCUGUUUUUCUGGACAGCGAAUGCGUAUACGCCACCACUGCCUCCUUGAGUGUCGUUUUAAUGAUCGCUUCGGUGGAAUUAUGCGGAAUCGAGUCUACAACAACCUUGGAAAAUUUUAUCGAGUUCCGAUGGAGGAAUCUCUGACAAUCUACGAUAUACCGGAGCCCUGUCAAAUCCAGACAGGAAUCUGGAUGAGUUUAGGGUGUGGUCUCCAGAGCCCAGCUCGGAAGUCCUUUGGAAGAUUCAACCGUUCCUCUACUGUGGAAUUCCCAUAUCUACCACCCCUCAAAAUUUCAGCUCGAUCCGACCGUCCAAACUCUGGGAACCUUUCGAUUAGUGCAUCACAUUACAGAUCUGUUUCCUGCGCGAAUACGGAUCCGACCCGAAUUCAUGUUUCUUUAUGAACGUGAUAUUUGACAACCUUUUUAAAAGGAAUUUUCUUCUAAGGUAUUGUGCGUUGUUUUUAACAUGCGCCCAUAAAAUUUUAAUCCUCCUCCGAGGUAAUCUUCGCCAUCACGCUGGUGCCAAACCAGUCCGGCAAUAUAGCUCCAUGACUGCCGACCUGCGCUAGACAUGUCGUCGCUUUUUAAGCCGAGCUCAACUUCUUCGGAUCCUCUCGGCGAGCCGAAUAAGAGUUCGGAAUCGCCAAGGAUAAAUCAUCACCAACAUCGGCACCCCAUGGAUUACACGGAGCAGGCACACCAGCAUCGCCACAUGGUCACUUCAUCAAACCAGCAUCGGCCGCGUCACAAGUUACGACCUGGGUCGGCAUGGCCGCACUGUUGCUUCUUCGAGCCAAUGUCCAUCACGCCGAACUACUUCAACACCUCGGCUGACAUGGCAGCUACAACAACUCCUCACCGGCCUGCUCCAUCACCUCGGCUUGACCGGGGACUUGGCUAUUUCUUCAUCAACAUACUCCGGUGACUUCGGCGUCACCAGCCGACCAGCUUCGUCAUGUUAGCUAGACCGAGGGCUUUGCCUCGGCAAGCCAACCUUUGCCAAGCAUCACCAGGCCAUCGCUUCAUCGCCUAUCAGGCAAUGGGGGUGCGGAUCGAUUCGCGAUUUUGGGAGUCGCUUUUCUUCGGAAUGCUACAACAAAUAAACUAGGUGCUAUUAAUCCUAAAUUUUUUUGCUUGUUGGGUUUAUUUUUCUUAAGAAAUUAUUACUCUGGUUUGUUCCAUCAUCUGUACACAGGUCUAUCAAAUGGCGGCCACAUUAAAAACGGUCGCGUGGUGGUUCGGUCAGUUUCCCUACAUAGUUGGGCGAACGCCGCAUCCGGAGUCCGGACCGCCCUGUAAAUUCAGGCUUUGUCACGCCUUCACUGGGUCACGCUGACGCCCUGCAUCGACAUUGGCUUCGGCGCCAAACCACCUUUCUUUAAAUAAAUUAUUUUUUCGUAAAGCAAUUAUGCAAGGAUUAUAUAUAUAUUAUUUCCUGGACCGCACUGUUUUAUGUGUGCAAGUAAUCAAUUUUGACUGCGUUAGGUGGUCACUACUCCGGAGUGGCGAACUCCUUGCUCGGACACCUCGGGCCUGGGGGCUGGGACCUCAUCCAUGCCGAGGACUACGAACCUUGUCGGAUCUGUCACAGAUCAAUGGGUGUCUUCGUCCCGUCACAAGCCCGAAUUGCGUUAUCAACACCGAGCACAUUAACCAGCUAAGUUGCUUUCAUGCUAAAAAACUUUCAGUUUUAAAUUUUGUUCGGUUCAACCAAGCGUCAUACUUCCUUGUCAAAACUUUGUCUGUGACACACAAAUUCAAAUACCCCGUUUACUUGGGGGCUUUCUUCAUGAAGCCUUUCCUCUUGCAUAUGAUUAUACUUGUACGGCUUUGUUCCUUGUUCGUGUAUUACGCCACAAUAUGCACCAUAUUGCCUUAAGUGUUUCGCAAGCUGGGUUGCCUGACUCCUGUGCUUAUCCCUAUGUUCCCGAUUGUUCGGCUAGGGAGUAAAGGGAGCACCUCUGCGAUUGUCACGACCGGGUCAUCCGAGCUCUAACCUCAGACUGGGUGAAGCCGAAAGCUAGCGCUCUUAUUAUUCUCAAUCAUGGUCGGCACAUAACGGAACUCAUGAGUACAAAAAAUCUAUUGCACAAGUCUCAUAGUAAUAAUGAGCACCGAAGAAAGGUAUCGAUGGGGGUACUAUUUUCUUCGAAGAUGCUUCUUACACUUCGUCUGUAAUAUAGCAUAAGUUCCCUGAGCACACUUUGUCUGUUACAGCCUUAUGGCCUGGUUGCCUGGUUAUCGAAAACACCGCCGAUAUACUCGACAGGUGGAGUACAUAACACUCUUCCGCCCUUGACCGAAGAGGGAGAAGCCGACGGUCGGUUAAGACGCGUUUAAAGUUCGGGUGAACACAUAUAUGAUAUAAGUACUUCGGUACAUACAAUCAUCAUACAUAAAAUUCUUUUACCCAAGUCACUUGGGGGCUCUUAAAAUUUAUAUAUGAGCUGUAAAUGUGUUUUCUUCUUGGUCGUCAAAACACGACAGAAGCACAAUUUUUUUUCUCGUCCAAUUUUCGGAUUGGCACCGAACACUUGAUCUUGUUCGGACGUCAUGUUUUUACUGACGUUUUUUUGGUUUUUCAAGAUUUUGGCACUUUUAAACUAUUUGUGUGUUUCCAGCACAAGUCUCGCAGUGCAACGUCAGACACCUUUAGAGAUUCGGCAAAAACAUUCUCGGAUCUUGCUAUAUAUGCAUUGGUUUCAAAUUGUAUCUUCGGUCAAUAGUUGGGUUGCCCGGCUCCUAUGCUUGACUCUUAUGUUCCUCUUUGUUCGGCUAGGUGUGCAAUGGGAGAACCACUGCGAUUGCGCUUCCAGCUCACAUGGUUAAGCACCUCAGUGGAGAAAGCCGAAAACUGACUAUCACAAUAAGCGCAAACUGGUCAGCGAUCCGAUGACCGUGUUAAAUGAUGGGCCAUUCAUAACAUUGGCUGAAGUGUUUACGACUUGACCUCAGCUGUCGCCGAACACUAACCGGGGGCUCGUAGCUAGCUUCCCUAGUUUAAAACUCUUAUGACCAAGUGAAAGUUAUAAAGCUAAGAUAUCCGAUUGCCUCAUUUCCGCUAACACAACCGCCUUCGGGCACCAAGACGUCGGCUAAAGGGUUGUCUGGUUAUUGCAGAAACACCCUGCAUAGUAUCUACAAAGGGGUAGAAGCCGACUAUGGGCCACUUUCAACUGAUAAACGGUCGCAAUGGAGUCAAAAUAAGUAUAUAUCAUCAACAUUUGUAUUCAUUAUACAUGUGUUGCCUUCCGUAAUUAUCGUUAUAUAAAGCCAUAAAUAUGCAUCAAUUUGACUUACGAUUUUGGCCAAGCUGGGUUGCCUGGCUCCUAUGCUUACCCUUAUGUUCCCGAUUGUUCGGCUAGGCGGUAAAGGGAGCACCCCUGUGAUUGUUACUAUUGGGUCAUCCGAGUUAGUACCUCAGACUGGAUGAAGCCGAAAGCUAGCAAUCUUAAAGGAUCACAUUGGUCGGCAACGACGGAAGUAAAUUCUUUGGUUCAUUAAUACCAUAGAGUUCGAGAACUUUGUCCGAACUAAAUCCUCAAUAUUUUCCUCCCACAUUGAUCGGAGCUGAGGUUUCAUGAUCAUGCUUAGCAUGACAACCCAAAGAAAGGAACCGAUAGUGGGACAAUGUUCUUUGGAAGAUGUUUCUUACGUUAAAAAGUAAUAUAACAUAUCUCUCGGCGUACCUUUGUUUAUAAAACUGUAUGGCCGGAUUGCCUUGUUUGCCGUAAAUCUUUGCCCUCAUAAAGGCUUUAUAAAGUAGUACAAACACUCCUCGGCUGCUAGUCAAGGAGGUGGAAGCCGAUGGUUGGUCAACAAAGUUUUUAUAAUGCGGAUCCGAGCAUUAAUGAUGUAAAGUACUUGGAUACAUAGAAUAAUUACACAUAAUUUGUGAUUUUAUUACAGAUAUCGAUCCUUAAUUCGGCCACCCGUGCCCACAUUAAGGCUCGGGGGCUACUGGGCUUCGUGCUUACCAUUUAAAAAUAUUAAAGGGGUAUAUCGAUUCCCUGAUCUGGUGUUGCCACCCGACCAGUGGCUCGGGGGCUACUGCAUUAACAAUCCAAUGCAGAAAAUUUAAAGUACAAUAUAGUUUUCGAGGAGAUUAUUGUGCUCAAGUUGGUCGGCCGCACCCAACCCGAGUCUCGGAAGCAGCCCAUGGCCAAGGUGGUGCAUCACCUUGGAAGCAGUCCGGCAUAAAGCUCGGGCGCCAGUGGCUGGCUCCAUAACAGGCAUUUCCGACAUUAAGCUCGGCUAAGCUCCUUCAAACUUUUUUGAGCCAAGGUGAUCUAUGACACCUCGGAUAUAGUCCGGCGUUGAAGCUCGGAUACAUUCCGGCGUUGGAGCCCGGAUGCAGUUUGGCGUUGGAGCUCGGCUGUAACAAUACUCUUAUGCAAUCCGGCGUUGGAGCUCGAAUACAUUCUGGCGUUGGAGCUCGGAAGCAGCUCGGCGUUGGAGCUCGGCUGCGAAAGAUAAAUCGGAUGCAGUCCGGCGUUGGAGCUCGGACGCAAGAGGACACUGCCGCCUGGGAACAACUUCAAACCCGAGGUGUGGCAUAAAAAUAACAAGGCAUUGAUAAAGGCCGGAAACUUAAAGGGGCUCCUCGGAUACCCGACGUAUAAGCUCUUCGGAUGCAUGUUGGUGAUCCUCAAGAUCGAAGAAGAUUUGUUGAACCAGUUUUCAAGACCGACGACCGAAGAUGAAGAACAGUUCAGAAGAAUCGAGGAGCGUCCCCAACUUGAAGACCGGUUCAGGGGGGCUACUGACGGUGUCCUGGACUAGGGGUACUCACCAUGUCGUCUCCCGGUCAGUUAGAUUGGGCCAAGGACCCCCAUGGCCGUAUACUCAUGGGCCAGUUCGGACAGCUGCCGCAUACAAGGAAGAUUCCACAAGACUCGGUGGUCAAGACAAGGACUCCUCCCCCACCGACGUAUUCGGCUAGGACUCUUGUUAUCCUAUGCCUCUGGUGCAUUAUAUAAAUCAGGGCCAGGCUAGUCGAUAGAUAUACAAACAAUCAUAAUCAUAGGCUAGCUUCUAGGGUUUAGCCUCUACGAUCUCGUGGUAGAUCAACUCUUGUAAUACUCAUAUCAUCAAGACCAAUCAAGCAGGAAGUAGGUUAUUACCUCCAUCACGAGGGCCCGAACCUGGGUAAACAUUGUGUCCCCCGCCUCUUGUUACCAUCCGCCUUAGACGCACAGUUCGAGACCCCCUACUCGAGAUCCGCCGGUUUUGACACCGACACCGACACCGAGCCACCUCGCCACGGCUUUUCAUUGCUCGCCAGCAGCUGGGCAAGGGCGGCGAGCACCAUGAGAUGCUCUUCUUCCUGGACGUCGGCCUCGGCUUCCUCCUCCAGCAGCGCGGCGAGCGCUUCCUCGUCAUCUGAGUCCAUCGCCGAGGCAGGCAAAUUGCCGAACACCUUGCGCCCGGUGGGCGUGUACCCGCCGCUAAACUGCCCCUUCGCGGUCGAAAACGGCGGCCGGAAACGCCCAGCUGCUGGUGGAGGGGCUGCCUCGGCGAACCUCUGCUAUUUUUCCGGCGGGGAUUGGCUAUCUAGCGGUGAAGGGCGGCGGGCGGCACCGGGAUACAACUAGUGGCGACCGAGGGCGCGAGGGGUGGGAGGCGAGUCGGGGAAAAAACUUGACUUUUCACCUGACGGUGUGGGCCAGCCGCGCUUUUCCCUUGCGCCGGAGCCCCCGAUCGCCCCAGUGCACCGGGUUCGGCCUGCGACCGCCGGGCCCAAAAAGGGCCGAACCGGCGCUUUUGGCGUCCUGGGGCGCGACUGGGGCUUUUUUUGGCGCCGACGCCGAAAAAGUGGCUUGGGGGGCCUGUUGGGGGCGCGGCUGGAGAUGAUCUUAUACCCCUUACCGCCCACACGAUCAAGAGGUGCAACCUAUUAUGUUAAAAUUUUAGCUUGUUUUGACAGAUGGUUUGGAUGAGACAACCUAUUUUUCUAGUUUUAGAGUAAAAGUUUGGGGAGAGUUAAAGUUUGGGGUUCAAAGUUUCUAUGUGCACAAAAAAAAAACACUGAAAACUGCAGUAUAAGUGGCACAUAAUUCAGUAGACAUUGUGGUAUAAUUUCAGAUCAUUUUGAUAGACAGUUUGGAAGAACACUGAUUGUUCACUUUCUGUCAAAACUUUUGGGUUGAGAUUCCAAACUGCGCAGAAGAAAACAAAAACAUUAUAACAUAUUCACGGCGACGCGGCCAGAGAGCUGAGAGAAAACCUUGUACAGUCAAAGCCAAUCAAUCACAAGGUAGGGGCCGGGGUAUUUUAAACGGUUUUGAGAAUUGACGAGGAUAGUUUCAACCAAUGUAUAGUUUAAGAGUUGAAAACUAAACCCAGCAACAUAUUUGAAGGGGUCAAAAUGAAUUUACCUUCUUCAUUCAUGAAACCGGCAAACCUUUUGCCUUGUGUUUCGGAAACAAAUGUCGUAUAGCAAAAUCUAUCAAGAAAAUCUACACCCAGGUCACAGGCGAUACCCGUGGUCCGUGGAUCUAGUCACAUCAUUCUUUCUAGCGGUCUCUAGCCGUUUUUUCUUUUCUCGAGGUAAACGGCUAGAGACCGCUAAAGACUACCAAGGUUCCUUUGUUGCAUUCUCACUCAAUUUUCAUGUCGUUUUACUCAGUGGACCAUCGCCACAUUUACCCGGUCCAACAAUAUCUUAAGAAAAAAAUAAAGUGUAACAGUGACUUUUUGUGCGUGGUAUGAACAAUCCAUUUGCAAAUUGUUGUCCCGUCUGUUAUCUUGACCAAAUAGGACAAUCCAGCAGCUUUCAUCUGACUCCCACACUCCCACUUUCAUCUGACUUCCACACAUGGCAAUUAAUUUGCCGUGCGUAUUGAACGGAGCAGGGGUCAAGUAUGCCAGAACAUGGCGCUCGUACCUUGGCGCAUCACAGUUACGGUUGCCUGCUUCCAGCUCACAGAAAUGGCAGCAUCUGAGGUCUCCCGUAUACUACAAACAUUUUGACCAUGACUCGUUGCUCGUUCAGAGGAUGACUUCUUGACUCCUCAAGUCUUCUGCCUGUCAGCGACACCAAGUCUAGGUCUUUGUUUUCGCAUGCAUAUUUUAGUUUAUCAAGUGCUGCUUCACCAAAAAUGGUUGAAAAUGACUAUGGGGAAAUGCCAAUUGGUCGAUGUUGCAGUGGUUCAGUCUCUAACGCAACUGGGCCCAGCUGUCCGGCAACUAUGGGGGCUGCUAUUCCAGAGGCCGAAUCCAAGCCCUGUGGUAAACUGGGCCGGUUAUGCCAGCCCAUUAAGCUAACACCGUGUUCUCGCUCGACAGGGGAUGUGGAUCGUCCGCUUAUUGUGCUCGCUGCUCGCUGGACAGAGGAGGUGGAGGAGGUGGAUCGGUGACAGGGGAAUCCAGCCGCCCCCGACGCGCGCGACGCGCUCGAGCAGGAUGGUAAAGCGCGCAAGCCAUGCCGGGCGACGUAGGCGAUCUGUCCUGGAGCGGGAUCCAAGCCAAGCGACCACGACGAUUUGAUCCAGCGGCGGACAGGCCACUGUUCUGUCUGUUCAUCUCUCUGUCCGCGUGUCCUGCCAGAGUUUGAUUCCAGCCGCUAGCACCAACUCUCCACCUUGGGUUCGUCCACUAAGAAUUCAAUCACCGGCCGCUAGCACUCCUCCCGGCCAGAUGGUUCGGCAGCCUAUGUACCUACAGGAAAAUCCUCCUUCUCGUUAUGAGAGAGAUUGUUCUUGGGAUUUUAAUGUGUGCAGGCUACGGGUGACAAGCCGGUGGUUCCAUCAGUUAGAAGUGUAGCGUUUUCUUGAUCUCUUUUCUCUGUCAGGUCAAAUUACAAUAAUAUUUUUCUAAUGCGAUUUGAAAAGUUUUAUCAAAUCCACUGAGCAAAUGAGACUGCAAUACUUGGUUUGUGCUCUAGAAUUAUAAGACUUGCUUAUAAGUCCUGCUUAUCUUUUUCAUGUGAACUAUAAUUAUUUUUCUUUUUCCAGCUAUUGAAAUUUGUAGACGAAGGGCAUGUUCUAUACCAUGAUUUAUGAUUUGGCACAUCAGUAACAUCCAAGAGAGGAUAUUCUUCUAACUUUACUUUACAAUGUGAGUAUAUCCUACUCUAAAUUUCUCAUGUUCAACCGGCAGCAUCUGCUCUAUUUUGAUGUUUCUAUCAUUACUUCCAAACUGUGCACCUAAGCGUAGGAUAAAAGUAUUCAAGUUAAACAAGUUGAUAUUUGAUUAUCAAGCGGUGAAGUACCCGGCCUCGGAUCCCUUGGCCGCGAUCCCUGUUGCCCCCGCGGCCCCCGCCGCCCCCGCCGCGGCCACCGCUGCACCCACCGCGGCCAUCCCUCCUCCCAUCGCGGUCUCCGCGGCCCGUCUCCCGCCUGACGUCGUCCAGGGCAAGCAAGCCGUCCCCGCGGGCGUCACCUCUUCCUCGUCCCUGGCGACCCACGGCGCCCUGCCACCACUCUUCUUCAGACGGCCGGCAGUGUCCCCGUCCAGCCACUCCACCUCGGCGGCUCCAGCGGCGCUCUCGUGCCCCGCGUCCCCGCCCCUGCCGUCGGCUCUUCUUCCUCCGACGGCCUCCCGCCGUCCAUCUCUCACCCACAAUCAUCAAAAACCUCAUCUCCAUCCGUCGUUUUACUCGCGAUAACUCUUGUACUAUUGAAUUUGAUGAGUCUGGUUUUACUGUGAAGGACCUCCUAACCCGGCGCAUCAUGAUGAGGUGCAAUAGUUACGGUGAUCUGUACCCUUUCUUCAGCAACGUCGGCGUCCAGCAUGCGCUCUCCAUGGUCGGCAACUUAUGGCAUCUCCGUUUGGGCCAUCCCAGCAAUAACUCUGUUUCCAUUUUAGCCAAAAAUUUCCUUCCUUCUUGUAAUAAUGACAAUGCAAAAUCUAGUGUUUGUGCUUCUUGUCAAUUAGGAAAGCAGCCCCAGUUGCCCUUUUAUUCAUCUUACUCUGUCACCACCGCUCCUUUCCAAUUAAUACAUUACGAUUUAUGGACUUCUCCCGUUUGUAGUUUCUCUGGUUAUAAGUAUUACCUUAUUAUACUUGAUGACUACUCGCAUUUUUCAUGGACGUUUCCGCUACGUCACAAGUCUGACACCGCCGCGAUAAUUUACCGUUUCUUUACUUACGUACUCACCCAAUUUCGUGUCCCUAUCCAGUGCAUGCAAUGCGACAAUGGCGGCGAGUUUCUCACCAUCGACGUCCGUGAGCUUUUCACUCGCCAUGGCGCCUCUCUCCGUCUCUCAUGCCCUCACACGUCGCCGCAAAACGGUAAAGCCGAAUGCCUUCUCCGCACAACCAACAACAUCAUUAGGGUCAUGCUCAUUCACGCCCAACUCCCUGCGCCGUUUUGGGUGGAAGCCCUCCAUACGGCCACCUACGUCCUCAACCGACGACCCUCAUCCUCCAUCCAAUCCCAAACACCAUUCUACCGCCUUCUAGGACACCACCCCUCGUACGAUCAUAUGCGUGUGUUCGGUUGUCUCUGCUUUCCUAACACCUACGCCACAAGUGCCCAUAAACUCGCUCCACGCUCCACCAAGUGCGUCUUCCUCGGCUACGCCCUCGAGCACAAGGGCUACCGUUGCCUGGAUCUCCAGACUCGCAAAGUCUUGAUAUCCCGUCACGUCACCUUCGAUGAGUCCGUUUUUCCUUAUACUACCGGUGACACACCCUCUCCCACACUACCUGCCGCAAAGGAUCCCGAUGCCCCCAUCUUUCCCGAUCCACGGAUCCCACCUACCUCUUACCGAUCCCACCCGGGAUCUGCGCCAGCACCUGCCGCCACUAGCGCGACCGCCCCGACCGCAUCCCCCAUGUCUCCCUCGCACGACGAGCUCUCCUCCCCAGCGCCCACUCCCGAGCCGCCAGCUGCCGCACACACCCCCACUUCCCCGCCUGCCAGCUCCCCCGGGCCCGCCACUUCCCCCUGCCAUUCGCCCGCUCGCAUGCAGUGCACCCCAUCGCCAUGCAGUGCACCCCCAACCUCACCCAUGCAGUGUGCCCCAUCGCCAUGCAGUGCAAACCAGCCGGCCACCGCCUGAACACCUCCCCUGCCUCCACGCGCCGUCCCUGUCGUUCCGCCACUCAAUACCCACAGCAUGCGCACACGGGCCAAAAACGGCUUUGCCCUUCCCAAGCAGCAAGUCUCUCUCCACACCACUACUACUCCCGCCAUUAGCCCCAUCCCCUCCUCCUACCGUACCGCUCUCAAAGACCCGAACUGGUACAAUGCUAUGCGUGAGGAGUAUCAUGCACUAAUGCGGAAUAAUACUUGGUGUUUAGUGUCUCGUCCUGCAGGUGCUAAUGUGGUUACAGGGAAGUGGAUCUUUCGACACAAGUUCCAUCCCGACGGCUCGCUCGCUCGGUACAAGGCCAGAUGGGUCCUUCGCGGUUUCACUCAGCAAGCCGGCGUCGACUAUGGCGAGACAUUCAGUCCCGUGGUCAAACCGGCCACCAUUCGUGCGGUGUUGAGCAUCGCCGCCGGCAAGUCGUGGCCCAUUCACCAACUUGACGUGAAGAAUGCCUUCCUCCACGGUCAUCUUGCCGAGACGGUGUACUGCCACCAGCCAUCCGGCUUCAUCGACUCCGCCAAGUCUUCGCACGUCUGCCGCCUCAACCGUUCGCUCUACGGCCUCAAGCAGGCGCCACGCGCAUGGUUCUCGCGGUUCACCACCUACCUGCGCACUCUCGGCUUCACCGUGUCCCGCUCUGACUCGUCGCUCUUCGUCCUUCGCCGCGGUCCGCACCUCACCUACCUCCUCCUGUACGUGGACGACAUCAUCCUCACCGCCGACUCCAGCGCCUUCCUCCAGAGCAUCAUUCAGUCGCUGCAUCAGGAGUUCUCUAUGACGGACCUCGGCGCUCUUCAUCACUUCCUCGGCAUCAAUGUCACGUCCACGACUACGGGGUUGUUUCUCUCAGAAGAGCAAUAUGCUCUUGAGAUCCUCGACCGCGCCGGGAUGCUGAACUACAAGGCGAUCUCCACGCCUGUCGACACACAGGCCAAGCUCUCUGGUGACUCCGGGCCGCUCUUCCACGACCCCUCACUCUACCGCAGCUUGGCUGGCGCUCUGCAGUACCUCACCUUGACGCGCCCCGAUCUCUCUUACGCCGUGCAAUAGUGUUGUCUGUUCAUGCACGCGCCCCGGGAGAGUCACUUCCAGCUCGUCAAGCGCAUUCUGUGCUACGUCCGCGUCACUACACACAUGGGGUUGCAGAUUCAUCGCUCCGCCGCGUCCGAGCUUGUCGCCUACUCCGACGCCGACUGGGCCGGUUGCCCUGACACACGCAAGUCCACGUCCGGCUAAUGUGUGUUCCUCGGCUCCAACCUGCUCACAUGGUCCUCGAAGCGGCAAAACAUGGUGUCUCGGUCCAGUGCUGAAGCCGAAUACCGUGCCGUCGCAAACGCCGUCGCUGAGGCCGCCUGGAUCCGACAACUCCUCGGCGAACUGCAUCAACCCCCUGCGCGCGCCACCGUCGUCUACUGCGACAACGUCUCCGCCAUGUACAUGUCUUCGAACCCCGUGCAGCAUCAGCGGACGAAGCACGUGGAGAUUGACCUUCACUUCGUGCACGAGCGCGUUGCCUUGGGCGAGGUCCGCGUCCAGCACGUCCCCACGAGCUCCCAGUUCGCCGAUAUUUUCACCAAGGGCUUGCCGUCGAGCGUGUUCGGCGAUUUUCGGUUCAGCCUCAACAUCCGGAAUCCCCAGGUUGUGACUGCNNNNNNNNNNNNNNNNNNNNNNNNNNNNNNNNNNNNNNNNNNNNNNNNNNNNNNNNNNNNNNNNNNNNNNNNNNNNNNNNNNNNNNNNNNNNNNNNNNNNNNNNNNNNNNNNNNNNNNNNNNNNNNNNNNNNNNNNNNNNNNNNNNNNNNNNNNNNNNNNNNNNNNNNNNNNNNNNNNNNNNNNNNNNNNNNNNNNNNNNNNNNNNNNNNNNNNNNNNNNNNNNNNNNNNNNNNNNNNNNNNNNNNNNNNNNNNNNNNNNNNNNNNNNNNNNNNNNNNNNNNNNNNNNNNNNNNNNNNNNNNNNNNNNNNNUCCGUGCACAUCAUGCGCGCCCACGCCCUUGCAUGCACGGCAUGCUCGGCGUGAUCCUGCAAUCUAGCAAUGUCCGCCUCACUCACUCCUCCUGUAUCUCACCUCGUUGUAACUGUAUAAAUCAGCCCAUCGAGGCAAGGAAUAAACAUGGAGUGAGUUCGGCAAUCCAACUGAUUCAUAAUAUGUUAACUGGUGCGGUACGAAAGUGGACAAAAGUGAUUUUAUUGGGAUCCAGCUGACGCGUUCGAGCGAGAUCCAAGUGAAGCGCGCAGCAUUGCCAGCCACGACCAUGAUGACCUGCUCGAGUGGGAUUCCAAGAUGACUGGCCUGGCAGCGGAAGCCAGCGUCUAGGGAUCGCAAAGGUGAGCAGUCACACAUCCACGAGGUUUGCUUCUCUUCGAGUUCAUCGGCCGCCUUGGGGUCCUGGGCAACUUGUCCUGAUAAGCUCCUCUGAAACACCACUCCCCUGGAGCCAGGCACGACAUUUGAUCAACACGCGCCUCCACUCUCCUACGGGCUACGGCCGUAGCUUCUUCCCACACCCCACGAUGCUGAAUAUUAAAUGAUUGUCCAUUUGUCGUACUACAAAACAAUGUGCAAGUAUAGAAAAUGCAGCCAAAUAUUUAUCAUGCUCACACUAAAUCACAAACACACUGGAGGUGCACCGUCAAACAAAAGUAAGUCCCAAUACAUGCCAAAGUAUACACAUCUUUCUGUCUAACAUGGCAGUUUGAGAGACCCAUAGCUUCUGGUAGAAAAAUUGGAGAAAGAAAUACAUAUUUCCUGGAAGUGUUAUUCAUGUCUUACAUGCUCGCACAUUUAAUUGUAGUUUAUGCUAGCUUAAUUUGUAGUUAUGUCCGUAAACACACACUUCAUAUGUUCUCCCUGUGCCCAAAAAACCUCAUCUUUAAGACCAAGUGCAUAUGCAUCAUAUAAUGAUGGGAAGUGUUAGAACAUGUAGCCAGGUAGGCAGGUGGUUAUAUUCAUCUGGCCUGCCGUGGUUCUGGGAUGUUUGCUCCUGCUGAAUUGUUAAUUGUGUAGCUGUAACCAUAUUCUGGAAGCAACUUGAGUAUAGAGCACCCAAAAAUAAAAAACAACAUAGACUACAAGUGUCGCUGGACUGCAUCUGAAACAUAUUUACGGAAAUUUAUAGAGUAAAUAGAAUGGAACUCUUCAUAACUCACACCGCAGUGGUUUACAGCUGGUUCAUGAAUGCAAAUAAAUAUAUUCGAGUUUGUCUAAUCAUUGCAGAACCACCUAAUAUUCAGUCAGACAAUAUAUUGCAGUGAUUAUUAGUGCUUUUUUUUAAAAGAAAUGCAAAAUCUGCAUUACUACGUGGACGAAGCUGACUCGCUCGCCACUAAAGCUUUUAGAUCAGCAGUUACAUUGUCUGCAUUUAGCUCAUCAUACAGGUUCAUGGAACAUCCUUUGUGUGCAAGUACAUGAGCUAAAUUAUUACAAUUCCUACUAGCAAAGCUAAAGGUGAUCUAAUUAAAGUUUUGGCAGUGCUUAGGUAACUUAUGGUAUAAUUGAUGUUCAACAUUACUUUAUAGAAGAUCAUCAUUUCUUCUCUAUUUACCUGCUCAGUUCAUUUAUAUUGCAAUCAACUAUACUGAAAGAAUGUGUCAAUCUAUAGUGGUACUGGAGUAUAUAGAAACUGAUUAAGUAGUGUUGCUAGCACUAAAAUGGCACAAAGAGAUGCAGAAAAAAACACUUCUGAGGUGAUCAUGACCAUUGUGUAAUUCAGAAAGUUGAUUAUGUUACUUUUGUGUAGUGUAUCUUCCAUGGUGACAUAAUCUCUGUCAAUGUUUGUACAACAAAGCAUGUACUAAGUUCUUUGUUGAAUCAAGCCUACAGUAUUCUGAGUCUACCAGUGAAGCUUUAUUGUGGUCAUAUACAAUAUCUCAUUUUUCUAAGAGGCUGACAUAUAUUAUAAAGUGCCACAAUAAUUGAAGACCAACAGGAACCGUUUUUUUCUGGCAUACUUUAAGCGCAACUAUACUGCAGCUUCUCAAGGUAUGCAAAUUAUGUCCUCUCACACACCCCUUGCAUAAUCUUUCAAUUAUGUCCAAAAGAUGGGUUCACCAAGUACAAAGUUUGUCUUACCAUUGUUAGCUCCCCAUUUCAUUCCCUACAGAGCUCUGUCCUUAACUGUAAGACUGGAUAUUCUUUCAAACACAAAAUAUAACACAUCUGAGGUUCAGUUUGUUUCUACAUGCCAGUAGCAUCACAAAUGAUAGGGAAAAAACCCGAUAAUCGCAUCAUGUAGACCAGACAAUGUUCCAACUCAGAUAGCUGCCCUUAUUUAUCAAUAUUUUAUUGUUUACUUUAGUGUUAGUGAAAAUUGUCUUACUGGAAUCCUUCCAUUCUCUAAUAUCCAAUUUUAUUGUCAAGCAGAAAUCCAUAUUUUAUUCUCUACACGGCCAUGUCCUUAAUUGUAAGACUGGGUAUUCUUUCAAAUAUAACACAUGUGAGGUGGAGUUUGUUUUCUUCUUGGCAGUAGCAUGACAAAUGAUAUGUAAAAAAACAAAUCGACACGCACAUCAUGUACCAGACAAUGUUCCAAUUGAGAUAGCUUCCCUUAUUUAUCAAAAUUUUAUCUUGACUUCAGUGUCAAUGAAAAUUGUCUUAUUAUAACCUUCCGUUCUGUAAUAUCUUAUUUAUUGUCAAGCAGAAUUUUUCUUCUUAGUUCCUUGUUGCCUACACAAGAUCACCUUUUGGGUGCAGGCUGCAAUUGUUUAGAAGACAUCAAUAAGAAAUAGAACAAUUAGAGAGUAAAAGUCCGAUGACCAAUACCGACUAAGGCAUAUGAGCACAUUGAAAAUGUUGUAAUAAAUUAUCAGCUUCAUAUAUUUAUGUAAAUUUUGGCGUCCAUAUACUUAUGUAAGCUCCUAACAUUCUAUUGUAGAAAUAGACGGGCGCAGCAACGGCGCCAUCGAUGAUCUAGUAUAAUAUUAAAAUGAGCCCUACAUGUCCGUCGUCACAACUACUCCUCCAUCCCACAAUAUAUAUAAGAUCGUUCAUCCGUCCCACAAUUUAUGGCAGUGCCUCUUAUGUGUUCUCGUAAGUAGGCGAUAGAUCGUUCGAACACCAUUGCCCAAAAGGGUGGUGGUUAACCAGCUCGAACACAAAAUUGAAUUUAUUUCCUUCAUUCGUUAGGGUGUAUUUUGAUUAUCUGUUAAGACAAGACUUUGAGCAAUAGUUGCUUUGUUAAUCGGGGAUGUUAAAAACCUGGCGUCAGUUUUUAUGCAUGAAAAAUCGAAUGUCUUUUAUGGCAAAAUUAUGUUGUCAUGAUGAUGAAAAUUUCCUUUAGCAAGCAUGAGAAAUCCAGGAUUUGCCAUUCUUGCUAAAGGAAAUUGUUAUCCUAGCGACAACAUAAUUUGCCAUGAAAAACAUUCGAUUUGCCAUGCUUAAAAAAUGAUGUACAAUUUGUAGUGAAAUCCUUGUUAAUAUAUGGCUGGUGUGAUAAAACCACAACUAUAAUUAAACAUUUUUCAUACAGAUCUAGUGACAUGAGUUUUAUAUCACAUAGAUUGCAUGAUAAUUGGUUAAGUGGCCACUAACAAAAGUAUUGUCUUAACUAAUUAAAAUACGCUCUACAACGGCUUAUCUAUGUUUCAUAAACAUAAAGUUCCGUCUAAUUUCCAUCCUGCAACUUAGAUAUGGUGGACUGUGGAUUGAGUUUGAUAAAAUACAACGUUACUUCCAGAUAUGACGGCGAGGUUCCACUCAUGGGACUUAAAUAUAGAUGAAUCAUUGGUUGAAUUUGAUAAAAAAAAUGUAUGGCUACUUUUGCUUUACAAAAGUGGCAGUUGCUAAUGAAUCAAAUAUCAAAUCUAGUUUUUGAGAUUAGAUGGGGCGGGUUUUGAAAAUCCACCACCCAGCCCAUUUAUGUCUUGUCUUGGUUCUAAAGAAAGGUUGCCCUACAAACUAUAAUCUACGAAAAAAAUAACAUAGUUUCAACCAUAGAAAUAGCAAGUGGGCCCUAUCAUCUUUUUUCCCGGGAAAAACUUCCGACCCAUUCAUCAAACAUCAUGGUAGUAAAAAGAACACUCGGAGUAACAAAAAUCACAUCCAAGUCCAUAGGCCACCUAGCAACAACUAUAAACAGUGGCGUUAGCUGAAGGCGUGCCACCAACACCGCCUCUCCCUCACUGGAGCAGGGCAAACCUUGUUGUAGUAAACAGUAGGUAAGUCAUCAUGCUAAGGCACCAAAGGACCAACACAUCAAAACAACAAUCUUCGUUGAUGGAGAGAAGUGUAGAACACAAACAUCGAACCUAUAGACACACUAACGCAAACAAAGGAAUACCAUAUCCAUAUACACCCACUGAAGACAAACACUAACCGAAGCCCUCUAGAUCUGCUGGAGACAGACCUCCACACGCUCUCGGGCGACGCUAGACGUACCCCGAGGGCCGGGGCUAGGCGGAGAGAAUUUUAUUUCAUCUUCAGGGAGCUGCCACCUCCUCUCCUUCCCGAGCAAGGCAACCCUAAACAAACUCAAAAGCAAGACAAAACCAUAAACAAACUCAAAAACACACUUAAAACGAAGUAGGAGCCCUCCCAAUGAGAAGGGUAGGGAUCCACGGUGCCUCCAUGGCCCGAAGGCCAUAGAAGGCGAGGCAGAUCGACAUCGGCGGGAGGUAUGGAAACCCUAGUUUCUAUAUUCGCUCAUGGGUUACUACUAUCUUGUGAUCAUAAUAUUUAUAGCUUAGCAAACAAAAUCAUUUUUUUCAUUUUUCCAAAAAUUGCGAAGACAAAAGGUCAUAGAUAAUGGACUACAAAAACAAAAGUGCACAAGUAAAUAUUGGAAAAAGAAUGCAAUCAUUUCCUCUAUGUACUUACUCUGACCAUAGUUUAAAAAACUCGUGACCAAACAGAUGAGGUUCUUGGUUUAGGUUUUCAUCGGCCGAACCACCGUCACAUGUUCACAUCUGGUAUUUUAGGCUACAAACAUACAUUUUAUACUAAUAUAGUAGUAAACAAAGGUCAAAUAGUUUUUCUUGCCAGUGCUUUUUGUCUGAUGGCAACACGGUCUAAACACCUUAAGAAGCCGUCAACAUUGUUUAUCCCGGCGCUUUCCGGUUCGACCAUCAGUCCUGUAUGAUUUUUUAACUAUGGAUGUGAUGUAAAAAAAAUGUUUACACUACCGUACUACAAUUUACUAUAGCUCAGUCAAUUGAUUAUAUUUCCUCAACACGGAUAUUACCUUAUUUUCUUACCAAAUUUUAAAUGUAUAUUUACCAACAUAUUUUUUAUACCCUUGAUAUUUUUAUAUAAAACUUAUAGAUAUGAAUUUUCACCAAAUUACUAUAUUUUUAGAGCUACUAGUUAUUGUAUAACAUGUUAUAUCAUAUGUCAGAAAAUUAUUGGGUUCAACACAUGACAUCAGUUAUAUAGGCUUACACAUUAUCGCAGCAAAAAAAAGUUAUAUAGGCUUACCAAUACUCAUACCAUCCAGGCCCAUCCCCCAUCUCAGUGACGAUCUUGAAGUAGGCUCAACCCAAAUACUAGGCCAUAAUUGUGAAUCCAUUGUCAUGGGUGCUGCGAGACCUAUGUCUCGCUUAUUGUGAGAUCUAGCUCCGUCUCGCCUUUGGCACUCGCUGUUGUGUCCUUUUAAUGGGCCAACCCAGUGAAGUAAUUCUGGAAAGGUUCUGUGCACCGGUUCUGAGAAGGUUUCAUGCGGUUCCUUUUCUUUUUCUAUGUUUUUCUUUAUGGUUUUUCUUUUACUUUUUUCCUAAACUUUUUUAUUUUUUGUCCUUUCUAUUUGUUUCAAAUACAUGUCAACUUUUUAAUACAUGUUGUAUUUUUUAUACACGUUGAACAUUUUUUGAUUCACAUUGAACAUUUUUAUUACAUUAUUUGAAGUUUUAAUAAAUGUCUGAAAAUGUUUUUGAAUGAUACUAAAUAUUUUUAUAAAAUUACACAAAUAUUUCUUUCACGUCGUAUAAACAUUUAUUUUAAAUUUGUAUAUUUUUUAAAUGACAGGAACAUUUUUUAGUGUUACAGAAUAUUUGUACAAACUACAUGAACAUUUUCUGUUUUGCAUGACAGUGCUGGAAAAUUCUUAGCAGCAAGUAACAAUGUUGUUGGUGUUUGCAUAGAUGUUUUCAUGGCAGAAGCGCUGGCUCUUUGGUUUGGUUUAAACUUGGCAACAUCUUUGGGCUGCAUUAAGUUAAUCAUCAACUCCAACAACAUUGAUGUAAUCUCAGCAAUGCAAGACAGAGACAAUACGUUAGGAUCAUUGGCCGCUAUUCUAGAUGAUUGCUUCCAUAUGGCUAGGGAUUUCACUCAUGUUCGGUAUGAACACUGUCACAGAGAAUCAAAUGAUGUUGUUGAUGAACUAGCUAGACUUUGUAAAUUUUCUCCCCCAAAUCUUGGUUUGAUGAGGCACCGGAUGCCAUCACUCCCUUGCUUGUAAGUGACGCUGUUUUGAUUACUAGCUAACAAAAGGGGGUGUUGGGAGGUAAAAAAACUACAUGGACUUUUUUUUUAAUGUCAAGAACAAAAAUUUUAAAUGCGUGAACUCUUUUUAGAAAAAAAUUCUACAUUGCGUGACACUUUUUUAAUGUGUGAUGACGCUUUUAAAAAAUGAAGUAAAUAUAUUUUGAAGAAUAUGUAUUUAGAAUAUUUCGAAAUAUAAAAAAAGCAAAAAAAAAAUAAAC
RNAcentral lists this long non-coding RNA (40021 nucleotides) under Triticum aestivum (bread wheat). RNAcentral describes it as "long non-coding RNA (TAES_LNC015013)". The record is from RNAcentral. Lineage: Eukaryota; Viridiplantae; Streptophyta; Magnoliopsida; Poales; Poaceae.